RNAcentral lists this ribosomal RNA (362 nucleotides) under uncultured bacterium. RNAcentral's name for it is "bacterial SSU rRNA". It matches the Rfam family "Bacterial small subunit ribosomal RNA", at positions 30 to 383 of the family's 1533-position model. The record is from RNAcentral.
AGUGAACGCUGGCGGCAGGCCUAAUACAUGCAAGUCGAACGGCAGCACAGCAGAGCUUGCUCUGUGGGGUGGCGAGUGGCGGACGGGUGAGGAAUACGUGGGAAUCUGCCCAGUCGUGGGGGAUAACGUAGGGAAACUUACGCUAAUACCGCAUGCGCCCUUCGGGGGAAAGCCGGGGGACCUUCGGGCCUGGCGCGAUUGGAUGAGCCCACGUCGGAUUAGCUAGUUGGCGGGGUAAAGGCCCACCAAGGCGACGAUCCGUAGCUGGGUCUGAGAGGAUGAUCAGCCACACUGGAACUGAGACACGGUCAGACUCCUACGGGAGGCAGCAGUAGGGGAAUAUUGGACAAUGGGCGCAAGCU